This 348-nucleotide unclassified non-coding RNA is filed under the name soil metagenome. RNAcentral describes it as "partial contains 5.8S ribosomal RNA, internal transcribed spacer 2, and large subunit ribosomal RNA". The stretch from base 1 to 120 matches the Rfam family "5.8S ribosomal RNA", at positions 35 to 154 of the family's 154-position model. The record is from RNAcentral.
GAUGAAGAACGCAGCGAAAUGCGAUAAGUAAUGUGAAUUGCAGAAUUCAGUGAAUCAUCGAGUCUUUGAACGCACAUUGCGCCCCCUGGUAUUCCGUGGGGCAUGCCUGUCCGAGCGUCAUUGCUGCCCUCAAGCACGGCUUGUGUGUUGGGCCCCGCCCCCCGGCUCCCGGGGGGCGGGCCCGAAAGGCAGCGGCGGCACCGCGUCCGGUCCUCGAGCGUAUGGGGCUUCGUCACCCGCUCCGUAGGCCCGGCCGGCGCCCGCCGGCGACCCCCCUCAAUCUUUUCAGGUUGACCUCGGAUCAGGUAGGGAUACCCGCUGAACUUAAGCAUAUCAAUAAGCGGAGGA